UGCGCAGGCGGACUAAUAAGUCAGAGGUGAAAUCCCACAGCUUAACUGUGGAACUGCCUUUGAUACUGUUAGUCUUGAGUGCAGUUGAGGUAGGCGGAAUGUGUUAUGUAGCGGUGAAAUGCUUAGAUAUGACACAGAACACCAAUCGUGAAGACAGCUUACCAAGCUGCUACUGACGCUCAUGCACGAAAGCGUGGGGAGCGAACAGGAUUAGAUACCCUGGUAGUCC
This 229-nucleotide ribosomal RNA is filed under the name uncultured bacterium. Its description in RNAcentral is "partial 16S ribosomal RNA". It matches the Rfam family "Bacterial small subunit ribosomal RNA", at positions 568 to 796 of the family's 1533-position model. The record is from RNAcentral.